AGUAAGUGUGGAUAUGAACAUUAUAGCAAAAGAGGAUGAAAUAGUUCCUGAAUGUUGUGCUGGUGCCUUACCUCCCUCCCUACCACCCCACACCUGGGCUUCCUCAGUCUCUGGCCUGUAGACCUCAUGAUGUCCUCUGUGGUGACCUCUUUCUCUCCAGUAACAGCAGCAUUCGCUUCAGUAUACUAAGGUUGGAACAAGAGGGCUGCCUGAAAGCUUUCACCCUCCAUGCUGGAGAGACAACCCGUGCCUGAUGCUACCUUUCCAGAACAUCUUUCUCAGAUAUUCUAAAGCGACUAAAUGGACAAAGCGUCUUAAAAGGACAGCCUACUGUGCUUCGUAAUCCAAGUGCGGCCGCGCGGUCAGA
Long non-coding RNA from Mus musculus (house mouse), 367 nucleotides. RefSeq annotates it as predicted gene, 54230. NCBI's taxonomy places the organism in Eukaryota, Metazoa, Chordata, Mammalia, Rodentia, Muridae. The transcript has 3 exons. The record is from RefSeq and is a predicted model, not a curated record.